Molecule: long non-coding RNA, 200 nt
Filed under: Glycine max (soybean)
Lineage: Eukaryota; Viridiplantae; Streptophyta; Magnoliopsida; Fabales; Fabaceae
Description: long non-coding RNA (GMAX_LNC004159)
Source: RNAcentral
GAUAAAGGGCUUUAUGGUUGUAGUUCAAGCGGAUGUAAUGACAAAGAAUGCUACUGAUGAGUGGUUUACUUAAGGCUCAGAAACUCCACGAUCACCUGAGGCUGCAACAAAAGUUUUAUUUCAAACAAUUACUAGUUCUCUGGCUUCAUUACAUUGUAGCACAUGUUGCUAUAUCACAAUCUAACAUGACCAAGUAAAAU